GAUGAACGCUGGCGGCAUGCCUAACACAUGCAAGUCGAUCGGUAAGGCUCUUCGGAGUACACGAGAGGCGGACGGCUGAGUAACGCGUAGGAACACACCCUGCAGUGAGGGAUAAGACACCGAAAGGUGUUCUAAUACCGCAUACGGUCUUCGGAUUAAAGCAUUUAUGCGCUGAAGGAGUGGCCUGCGUCAUAUUAGAUAGUUGGUGAGGUAAUGGCUCACCAAGUCGAUGAUGUGUAGCUGGUCUGAGAGGAUGAUCAGCCAGACUGGAACUGAGACACGGUCCAGACUCCUACGGGAGGCAGCAGUGAGGAAUAUUUCACAAUGAACGAAAGCUUGAUGGAGCAAUGCCGCGUGCAGGAUGAAGGCCCUCGGGUUGUAAACUGCUUUUAUAAGAGAAGAUUAUGACGGUAACUUAUGAAUAAGGGACGGCUAACUACGUG
RNAcentral lists this ribosomal RNA (443 nucleotides) under uncultured bacterium. RNAcentral describes it as "partial 16S ribosomal RNA". It matches the Rfam family "Bacterial small subunit ribosomal RNA", at positions 28 to 507 of the family's 1533-position model. The record is from RNAcentral.